AAGAGAGUUCGAACAUACAUGUCAUGUAUGAACUCUAAAGUUGCAAUAUGCAAAGUAGUCUUUUGACCUGAGGCAUCAUAGAUGUCUAAUGGUUAGGUCCUUGAUCUUUAAUCAUGUCAACGGCAUUCCCUCGGAGUGUCCACAACAUUGUUGGGGUCAAGCUAUCGAGUCAUGUAGGCAUAUGAAUGCACAACAAGGGAUCUCUAACCUUCCAUGGUGGAAGG
This 224-nucleotide long non-coding RNA is filed under the name Malus domestica (apple). RNAcentral's name for it is "long non-coding RNA (MDOM_LNC018666)". Lineage: Eukaryota; Viridiplantae; Streptophyta; Magnoliopsida; Rosales; Rosaceae. The record is from RNAcentral.